Molecule: long non-coding RNA, 724 nt
Organism: Poecile atricapillus (Black-capped chickadee)
Lineage: Eukaryota; Metazoa; Chordata; Aves; Passeriformes; Paridae
Exons: 3
Source: RefSeq, a predicted model, not a curated record
UUGUGAUGCCUAAAGGAUUUGAAGCCCUGAUUAUGUGUUUACAGAAAAGAAAAAGAAGAAAAGAAGAGCCAGGAGGAUAGGUUGUUCAGUUUACUACCGGAGACCUGACUGUGACAGACCACCAAGAAAACAAAAUUUAUAAAGAGAGUAAAGAAGACCUUCUGCAGCAUCUGCAAGUCUCUCCUUUUUUCUUCAGAGUUACGUAGGAUAACUUAGCCAGAACUUAUUGAUGUCUGCAUGUUCAGUGGACUCGGGAAUGACUGGGAGAUGCGGAAACAUACUCUUUGGAAGAAACAGAAGAGGAGGCAUUUCAAAGAUCCUGCAGGUGACAAAGGUCCUUGUAAAACAUACAGGUACGGCUGCUCUGCUCUGGUUUUGCUGUAGAGGAAGAACAAACCUUGGGGAAAAUGGAAAAGGAGCACUGCAUGUUUCUACUGCCUCUCCUGACUCCAGGGCCAAUGAAGGGAAGAAGGAAUCAUUCAAACAAUUAGGAACUUUUCAAUCAAGAAUGUAAAGAUAAUAGGUUAAAUAGGGAUGAUAAAUCAUGGUAAGGGAAAUCUGCUGCUUCCCAUAUCUGUGCUUGUUUUCUGGGCAAGAUUUUCAGAAAACAGGAUCUUAGCCUAAGGAUUUGUAGUCCUGCAUGAACUUCUCAGGAAAACAAUUCUGCUGCAUCAAGAACAAUCCAUUUGUUACCAGGCUGUAAAAUGAUGGGUAUUGUUUUAAA